CGUGCGGUUCUAUUUUGUUGGUUUCUAGAGUCGCCGUAAUGAUUAAUAGGGAUAGUCGGGGGCGUCAGUAUUCAAUUGUCAGAGGUGAAAUUCUUGGAUUUAUUGAAGACUAACUACUGCGAAAGCAUUCGCCAAGGAUGUUUUCAUUAAUCAGUGAACGAAAGUUAGGGGAUCGAAGACGAUCAGAUACCGUCGUAGUCUUAACCAUAAACUAUGCCGACUAGGGAUCGGACGGUGGUUUUUUUAUGCCCCGUUCGGCACCUUACGAGAAAUCAAAGUUUUUGGGCUCGGGGGGGAGUAUGGUCGCAAGGCUGAAACUUAAAGAAAUUGACGGAAGGGCACCACCAGGCGUGGAGCCUGCGGCUUAAUUUGACUCAA
Molecule: ribosomal RNA, 378 nt
Filed under: uncultured fungus
Lineage: Eukaryota; Fungi
Description: partial 18S ribosomal RNA
Rfam family: Eukaryotic small subunit ribosomal RNA
Source: RNAcentral